This 465-nucleotide ribosomal RNA is filed under the name uncultured bacterium. RNAcentral describes it as "partial 16S ribosomal RNA". It matches the Rfam family "Bacterial small subunit ribosomal RNA", at positions 28 to 507 of the family's 1533-position model. The record is from RNAcentral.
GACGAACGCUGGCGGCGUGCUUAACACAUGCAAGUCGAACGGAAAGGCCCUGCUUGCAGGGUGCUCGAGUGGCGAACGGGUGAGUAACACGUGGGUGAUCUGCCCUGCACUUCGGGAUAAGCCUGGGAAACUGGGUCUAAUACCGGAUAGGAGCCAUUUUUAGGGUGAUGGUUGGAAAGUUUUUUCGGUGUAGGAUGAGCUCGCGGCCUAUCAGCUUGUUGGUGGGGUAAUGGCCUACCAAGGCGGCGGCGGGUAGCCGGCCUGAGAGGGUGGACGGCCACAUUGGGACUGAGAUACGGCCCAGACUCCUACGGGAGGCAGCAGGGGGGAAUAUUGCACAAUGGGCGCAAGCCUGAUGCAGCGACGCCGCGUGGGGGAUGACGGCCUUCGGGUUGUAAACUCCUUUCGCUAGGGACGAAGCUUUUUGUGACGGUACCUAGAUAAGAAGCACCGGCUAACUACGUG